Molecule: long non-coding RNA, 402 nt
Filed under: Lathyrus oleraceus (garden pea)
Lineage: Eukaryota; Viridiplantae; Streptophyta; Magnoliopsida; Fabales; Fabaceae
Description: Pisum sativum (pea) long non-coding RNA (PSAT_LNC039809)
Source: RNAcentral
CCCAAAAAAAUUAAACCGUGUCACUUGCAGAUGUUGAACUCAAAUCAUGGGAAUUGAGAGACAUAAGCCUCAACUAACUCAACCAUUCACCUAUCGUGCCAAACAAUGGUAUGUAAUAAUAUAUAAGGGAAAAACGCAAAAUAAAUGGAAAAAAGCAAAAUGAGUAAAAAUGAGAAAUAAAUGGAAAAAAUAAAAAUGAAAUCAAAACCAACACAAACCAAAAUUGUGUGGCCUACCAAUGUUGAACUCGGGUCAUGGGAGUUGGGAGACAUAAUCCUUAACCAACUCAACCAUGAUUCCAAUAUGUCAAAACAUGGCUUCCAACAAUAUAUAAGGGAAAAAACGAAAAAAAAAGGAAGAAAAAAAAAGAAAAACAAAAUGAGAGCAAACGUACAAACCAAC